RNAcentral lists this ribosomal RNA (506 nucleotides) under uncultured bacterium. RNAcentral describes it as "partial 16S ribosomal RNA". It matches the Rfam family "Bacterial small subunit ribosomal RNA", at positions 30 to 523 of the family's 1533-position model. The record is from RNAcentral.
AUUGAACGCUGGCGGCAGGCCUAACACAUGCAAGUCGAACGGUAACAGGAAUCAGCUUGCUGAUUCGCUGACGAGUGGCGGACGGGUGAGUAAUGUCUGGGAAACUGCCUGAUGGAGGGGGAUAACUACUGGAAACGGUAGCUAAUACCGCAUAACGUCGCAAGACCAAAGAGGGGGACCUUCGGGCCUCUUGCCAUCGGAUGUGCCCAGAUGGGAUUAGCUAGUAGGUGGGGUAACGGCUCACCUAGGCGACGAUCCCUAGCUGGUCUGGGAGGAAGACCAGCCACACUGGAACUGAGACACGGUCCAGACUCCUACGGGAGGCAGCAGUGGGGAAUAUUGCACAAUGGGCGCAAGCCUGAUGCAGCCAUGCCGCGUGUAUGAAGAAGGCCUUCGGGUUGUAAAGUACUUUCAGCGGGGAGGAAGGGAGUAAAGUUAAUACCUUUGCUCAUUGACGUUACCCGCAGAAGAAGCACCGGCUAACUCCGUGCCAGCAGCCGCUGUAA